RNAcentral lists this long non-coding RNA (1413 nucleotides) under Gossypium barbadense (sea-island cotton). RNAcentral's name for it is "long non-coding RNA (GBAR_LNC005004)". Lineage: Eukaryota; Viridiplantae; Streptophyta; Magnoliopsida; Malvales; Malvaceae. The record is from RNAcentral.
AAAAACAAAACCCUAAAAUAAAACCCAUAACCAUUCCUUCUCCUUUUUUAGAAUCAGGGUAAAAAAAAAACCAAGCCUAUCCUCCUACUAUUCGGCCGAACCAAAGGACACCCCUCAACUUCUCUCGUUAGCCGAUCAUGGGUUUCAUCGGCGUCUACACCUCCACCUCUGCCGUGGUUCAUGGCUCAAGUCACGGAAAGAUGAGAUGACGCCCAUUCAUCUCUUUUGGUCCGAUACCCAAGCCGGAGAACGGCCUCCGACAAUCGAAACCGCAGGUAAGGGCCUCCAAAAUCUUUUCUUUUUUCUUAUAGUAGUGAAAAGAGAAAAAUGAGAGUUUGAAAGCGAGAUCAGUAGCCAAAUAUUGAAACAAAAAAUCACCUCUUUUGAUUUCUUUGCCCUUUUUUUGUGUUAUGUGCGCGUAAAAAAAACAUACAAUCUAGUCUUGGGGCUUUAUAGCCGAAUACAUGUGAUUUGAUUUUUGCUUGUUAUUUGGUUUAUCUCUGCUUUUGCUGUUUCUUGCCUCGUUUUUGCUUUGUCCUCCUUUUGCUUGUUUGCAAGUUUGCGAGGAGUCAACGAAUAAGGGGGUUUCCAUUUCAGUGCAAAGGGACAAAAGGGAGCCGAGCCUCGGGCGUUGGAUGUGCCGACGAAGCACGUGGGAUGUGCAGCGCUAGAGGAAACUAGGGUUUCCUGCUAACUGACGCUGGUUUGAGCAUUGGGCCUAUCGAGCCAAUUAGGUUAGGAGUUUUGGGGUUGUGUUUGGGCCGUUUGUAAAAUGGGCUUGCUGGGUUUUAAUUUUUUUUGGAUUAGGUUUAGUAAGGCUUUGGAUUGUAAAUGGACUGGAAUAUUUGGACUAUUUUUGUUUUUAUUAUUUUUUAUUGUUUGGGCCGGUCAAUGGUUUGGGUUUAGUUGGGUUUAGGUUGGGUAAUUUAGUCCUGCUAAUUGUUUGUAAUUUGGACAUUAAAUUUUGGGUUUUAUUAUCAUUAUUGGGUUUUCUAAAGGGCAGGUAAAUUUGGGCCCAUACAAUUCAGAGAUAAUAGUUUGAUUUAGAAGAAAGGGAAUGUAACACCCCAAAUCCGGCCCAGACGUUAUGGUCGGAUCCGACAUGCCACAUCGAAGCAUUCAAAACAUUUUAUAUUGUUGAUCCAGAAAAACUUACUUAGUGUUUUAAAAGAUGAUUAUAGGUUAAAGUGGAUGGAAGCUGUGCACCAGGUAGGAAACCGGAAAAGAGGAGGUGAGUCCAUCGGACUGCUUAAGUACCAAGCUCCCUUCAGAUCCAAUCCUAGACAUGCACACCGCCAUUGCCACACCUUAACGUCAUGUAUAUUUCUAGGAAACCGAUUUGAUUAAGUAUUUUUUAGGAAAAGUGAUUAAUUUUGGAAAAUACUUUCAUUGCGGAAGCUUUGCUUGUCAUCG